UACAGAGGUCUCAAGCGUUGUUCGGAAUCACUGGGCGUAAAGGGUGCGUAGGCGGCUUGAUAAGUCAAAUGUGAAACACUGGGGCUCAACCUCAGAAUUGCAUAUGAUACUGUCGGGCUAGAGGACUGAAGGGGAGUUUUGAAUUCACGGUGUAGCAGUGAAAUGCGUAGAUAUCGUGAGGAACACCAAAGGCGAAAGCAAAACUCUUGGCAGCUCCUGACGCUCAGGCACGAAGGCUAGGGGAGCAAACGGG
This 253-nucleotide ribosomal RNA is filed under the name uncultured bacterium. Its description in RNAcentral is "partial 16S ribosomal RNA". It matches the Rfam family "Bacterial small subunit ribosomal RNA", at positions 524 to 776 of the family's 1533-position model. The record is from RNAcentral.